GCCAGACUCCUACGGGAGGCAGCAGUGGGGAAUAUUGCACAAUGGGGGGAACCCUGAUGCAGCGACGCCGCGUGGGUGAAGAAGUCAUUCGUGACGUAAAGCCCUAUCAGCAGGGAAGAAAAUGACGGUACCUGACUAAGAAGCCCCGGCUAACUACGUGCCAGCAGCCGCGGUAAUACGUAGGGGGCAAGCGUUAUCCGGAUUUACUGGGUGUAAAGGGGGCGCAGACGGCAGCGCAAGCCAGGAGUGAAAGCCCGGGGCCCAACUCCGGGACUGCUUUUGGAACUACAUGGCUUGAUUGCAGGAGAGGCAAGUGGAAUUCCUAGUGUAGCGGUGAAAUGCGUAGAUAUUAGGAGGAACACCAGUGGCGAAGGCGGCUUGCUGGACUGUACCUGACGCUGAGGCGCGAAAGCGUGGGUAGCGAACGGGAUUAGAUACCCCAGUA
RNAcentral lists this ribosomal RNA (445 nucleotides) under uncultured bacterium. RNAcentral's name for it is "partial 16S ribosomal RNA". It matches the Rfam family "Bacterial small subunit ribosomal RNA", at positions 330 to 792 of the family's 1533-position model. The record is from RNAcentral.